UACGUAGGGGGCGAGCGUUGUCCGGAAUUACUGGGCGUAAAGGGCGUGUAGGCGGUUGAAUAAGUCUGAUGUGAAAUGCCGGAGCUCAACUUCGGAAUGGCAUUGGAAACUGUUUGACUGGAGUUCGGUAGGGGUGACUGGAAUUCCUGGUGUAACGGUGAAAUGUGUAGAUAUCAGGAGGAACACCUGUGGCGAAGGCGGGUCACUGGGCCGUAACUGACGCUGAGACGCGAAAGCGUGGGUAGCAAACAGG
This 253-nucleotide ribosomal RNA is filed under the name uncultured bacterium. Its description in RNAcentral is "partial 16S ribosomal RNA". It matches the Rfam family "Bacterial small subunit ribosomal RNA", at positions 524 to 776 of the family's 1533-position model. The record is from RNAcentral.